This 384-nucleotide ribosomal RNA is filed under the name Parvilucifera sp. RNAcentral's name for it is "partial small subunit ribosomal RNA". It matches the Rfam family "Eukaryotic small subunit ribosomal RNA", at positions 587 to 975 of the family's 1831-position model. Lineage: Eukaryota; Perkinsozoa; Perkinsida; Perkinsidae. The record is from RNAcentral.
AGCUCCAAUAGCGUAUGCUAAAGUUGUUGCGGUUAAAAAGCUCGUAGUUGGAAUUUAGCCCAAGUCAACCGCGUCGCACCAAAUGGUGUAAUGCAGGGUGUACUAGGCUCUCUUCAAUUCCUAUAUGCAUUCUUCAGUGAAUGGUAUGGGUUUCGAAGCAUUUACUUUGAAGAAAUUAGAGUGUUUCAAGCAGGUUAUACGCCGUGAAUAUGUUAGCAUGGAAUAACAAAAGAAGACAUUGGUCUUAUUUUGUUGGUUUAUAUCACCAAUGUAAUAAUUAAUAGGAACAAUCAGGGGCAUUCGUAUUCGCUUGUUAGAGGUGGAAUUCUUGGAUCUUGCGAGGACGCUCGACUGCGAAAGCAUCUGUCAGGAAUGUUUUCAUUA